RNAcentral lists this small nucleolar RNA (137 nucleotides) under Cebus imitator (Panamanian white-faced capuchin). RNAcentral describes it as "Small Cajal body specific RNA 24 (ENSCCAG00000009537.1)". It matches the Rfam family "Small Cajal body specific RNA 24". Rfam says of the family: scaRNAs are a specific class of small nuclear RNAs which localise to the Cajal bodies and guide the modification of RNA polymerase II transcribed spliceosomal RNAs U1, U2, U4, U5 and U12. ACA12 belongs to the H/ACA box class of guide RNAs as it has the predicted hairpin-hinge-hairpin-tail structure,the conserved H/ACA-box motifs and is found associated with GAR1. The record is from Rfam by way of RNAcentral. Lineage: Eukaryota; Metazoa; Chordata; Mammalia; Primates; Cebidae.
CAGACACUUAUUUUUAUCCAGUUUCUUCUCAAGGUGAAGAUAACUCUUUGUAAAUGUCAUAAAGUCAUGUAGAAUGCAGUAACUUUCUGUUCACGCUUUACAAAUAAAAAGAAUGGCUCCUUCUAUUAAUGACAUUU